Non-coding RNA from Brevibacillus choshinensis, 120 nucleotides. Lineage: Bacteria; Bacillati; Bacillota; Bacilli; Caryophanales; Paenibacillaceae. The record is from Rfam.
GAGGCUGUAUCACGACGUGAACGGUACUCCCGGAGUAUUUUUUGGUCUUAUUGCGUAUAGAUAAAUGAAUGAUGUAUGGACAAGAAUCUGCUCAGAGCCUGUGAGGACCGAGACAGAAGG